This 254-nucleotide ribosomal RNA is filed under the name uncultured bacterium. RNAcentral's name for it is "partial 16S ribosomal RNA". It matches the Rfam family "Bacterial small subunit ribosomal RNA", at positions 524 to 776 of the family's 1533-position model. The record is from RNAcentral.
UACGUAGGUGGCGAGCGUUGUCCGGAUUUAUUGGGUUUAAAGGGUGCGUAGGCUGUGAGGUAAGUCAGCGGUGAAAUGCCCCCGCUCAACGGGGUGAAGUGCCAUUGAUACUGCCUUGCUGGAAUGCGGAUGCCGUGGGAGGAAUGUGUGGUGUAGCGGUGAAAUGCAUAGAUAUCACACAGAACACCGAUUGCGAAGGCAUCUCACGAAUCCGCGAUUGACGCUGAUGCACGAAAGCGUGGGUAUCAAACAGG